UAAUACGGAGGGGGCGAGCGUUGUCCGAAUUUAUUGGGCGUAAAGCGCGUGUAGGCGGAUCGCCAAGCCUGGGGUGAAAGGUUGGGGCUCAACCCCAAGAGUGCCCUGGGGACUGGCGGUCUGGAGGCAGGCAGAGGAGUGUGGAAUUCCUGGUGUAGCGGUGGAAUGCGUAGAUAUCAGGAAGAACACCCAUGGCGAAGGCAGCACUCUGGGCCUGUACUGACGCUGAGACGCGAAAGCGUGGGUAGCGAACGGG
This 256-nucleotide ribosomal RNA is filed under the name uncultured bacterium. Its description in RNAcentral is "partial 16S ribosomal RNA". It matches the Rfam family "Bacterial small subunit ribosomal RNA", at positions 521 to 776 of the family's 1533-position model. The record is from RNAcentral.